Balaenoptera musculus (blue whale) is the source of this 1384-nucleotide long non-coding RNA. RefSeq lists it as uncharacterized. Lineage: Eukaryota; Metazoa; Chordata; Mammalia; Artiodactyla; Balaenopteridae. The transcript is spliced from 6 exons. The record is from RefSeq and is a predicted model, not a curated record.
UCGGACCCCGCGGCUGGCGUUUUUUCCUCGGCGCGGCUGAGAGCCUGCGAGUUCCUCUCUGGGCCUCCCAGCUUAUUUUAGUUAAGGAGUCACCGAGGCCUAGCGUGCUGGUUACCAGAGCUUCUAGAAGCGGCUUGCCGGCUCCUGGCAUUUUCCGGGCCAGACUGGUUAUGAGGACGCGGCAGGGAGACUGUUGAACCCAGGUCUAGCGUUGCCUUCGUUCGGCCAGCGCCCGGGAGCUCGACUCCAGAUUCCCUGGGGCUGGAGAAGCCGUUGUUUCGUCCGUCGGGGCCAGAGGUGCAGAUGGCUGAGGGGUUGUUUGUCAUCCAGAAUUCUACGGUUUUGUGAUUCUUUUGUGAUUUAUAUUUAAUGAGCAUGUCAACUUCCAAGAUUAAUCAUGAAAAUUUUGAUUUGGAAGAGGCCCUUUGUUUGGAAUAUGUUUGCCCUAGAUAUCUUCAUGGCUUAUUCUCUACCAAAAUGGAUUCUGUGCGACUGCCCUUUUAUUUUGUUAUAAUUGGUCCACUUUCUGGUUUUUUCCUUUCCCUUCAUUUGGAAGAGCUGUUAGAAAUGUUUACAGUGCACUUAUUCCUCACAAAAGCCCUGUGAAGUAGACGUUAUUAACUCCUUUUUAAGGAUGCUGCUAAUAAAAGCCAGAAUGUGUUAUGAAGGUACAACCCAAGCUGCAACUUCACUCUUCAGCAGCAGGAACUACUCUCUAACGAAUGAUGUACUCCAGAUUGAAAAUUCCUCAAGUGAAAUGCUUGAGAUUAAGUAAGGUGUCCUUGUAAGAAGAGGAACAGACGCCAGGGAUGCAUGUACACAGAGAAGAGACCAUGUAAGGACACAUUGAAAAGGUGGCCAUCUGCAGGCCAAGAAAAGAGACCUUAGGAGGAACCAAACCUGCUGACACUUUGAUCUUGGAUUUCUAGCACCUAGAACUAUGAGAAAAUAAAUUUCUGUUGUCUGAGCCACCCACUGCCAUCUCCAGGGAAUAGCUGGGUGAAUAUAUUUGCAAGUAACUAUUCUUUUUCCUUUCCUAUAUAUACUGGUUAAAAUUGUAGGUCUCACAGGUUAUCAAAAGUUCAGAAACAGAUAUAAGUAUACUUAUAAGAACAUGCAAUAUAGUAAAAUAUUUAAAAAGUCAGUAGGGGUAAGGAUGAAUUAAUUAAGAAGUAGUAUUGGAGAAUCACUUGAAAAAACAACAUUUAACUCGCUUACCUCACAGAUUACACAAAAAAUUAACUUCAGAUGGAAUAAAGAUUUAAAUGUUGAAAAAGAAACAUGGAAAUACUAAAAUAUAAAGAUUAAUAUUUUAAUGUAAUCCAGGGUACAGAAGGCAUGUUUAAACAUAUGUAAACAUAAGUACUAAAAGAAGAAACAAAAA